This is a long non-coding RNA of Vidua chalybeata, 4367 nucleotides long. RefSeq lists it as uncharacterized. Lineage: Eukaryota; Metazoa; Chordata; Aves; Passeriformes; Viduidae. The transcript has 4 exons. The record is from RefSeq and is a predicted model, not a curated record.
GAGGAGGAAAAGGAAGAGGAAAAGACCUGAUUGCUGUGGAGCAGAUCCAUGGCAUCAUCCAGAAUGAAGCUAGAAAGCCUUUUUCCUGGUCUUCUCAAAUGCAUUUAGAAACUCACAGGCAUGUUUAGUUUUGGGAACAGUCAUGCAUUUGGCAGUAAGAACAGCAAAUAUGGAUCCUGGAGCAAGGGAAGCUCCGUGGCUGUUGGAUGGGAUCUGCCAGCUGAGUCACACAAGGCAGAUCUGACUCAUCACAUCAGAGCUGCAUCUGCAGAUGUCCCAGGAUUUUAUAAAGUUGGGCAAGGCUGAUUAUCCUCUGUAAAAGCUGGGGAGACUGAGGCAUGGAAGUUAAUAGAAUAAUUGGAUCUGCUGGAGGCAAGUUCAUCAAAUGUGGGAUGCACAAUGAAUCCACUCUGGGCUCUGUCUCUGAUUCACCACGUGACAUGAAUCCAGCAAUUUGCUGCUUCCUGAAGCUUUCCUGACUUCCCUGGCAUUUGCAGGAAGGUCCAUGAUCACGCCGUGGAGGCAGAUCUCCAGGAGAACCAUCCACCUCAUCCCUGGCGAGCAGAUCCGGGUUCCUCCACAGCUUUCCAGCAGGAUUUGCAGUGGGUGGUUGCAGACUGGAGAGCUUGGCAGCUUUUUCAGUGGUGCUGUUUGCUGCAGAAACCACGAAUUUUUACCCUUCUAUGGAAUAAUCACAUCCUGAAGAAAUCCAGGAUUUGUGCAGCCAAGCUGACUUCGCAAGUGCCACCACCCUUUGCAGCUGCCAGGACACCAACCCUGGAUUUCCUGAUCCUCUUCCUCAGCUCUUCAAAUCCUCCUUCCUAAACCAAUCCUGAGCCAGAAGAGCACGUCCUGGAGGACAGCUCCCAGUCCAUUUUUCCCAUAGUGGGCAGCAGCUCCCACACCAGCAUCCCCUUAUCUCUGUGCAUCCCUGUCCAGAGGCUCCUUGGCUGCCCCAGCCUGCCCUGACUGCCCCACCUUGCUGAUGCAUCUGCAGCCCUCCCUCAGGGCACAGGGGAGGCCGAGUGGAGCCUUUCCCUUCUCCCACCACCCCAUCUUGGAGCGUGUGGGAAGCUCAGUGCUCCUGGGAGCUUGGGAUGAGUCAGUGUUUGCACGUCCUGAGUCACUCCAGGGAGUUGCCAGAGAGGUGGGGGGGGGGAUGCCCAGUCUCAUCUGGGGGUGUAAAUAUCCCAGGAAGUUCUGUCUGAAAGAAAAUUCCCAUUGAGAGGUCGCUACCUUGUAGGGUUGCUUCCAGCAGGGCCACCACCACGGACCAGAAGUGUCACCCCAUGAAAAAAAAAGUUAUUUCCUGGCCCUGCUUCCAUGUGAAUCCUUACAGACGACCCACAGCUGUUUUUUUGGGAGGGGUGCCACAUCCCCAACCCGUGUGUCCUUGGAAACUUCCUGGGACAUGCCUCUUAGCAGCUCCCUCAGAGCAAGUUUGUGGCAUCAGGGUAUCCAAGACGCCAGGGAGGCCAUGGAGGAAUGCCAGGCAAGUUCUCAAAGCAGGGCUUUUGGGAUGUCUUUUGAGUAGAAUUAAUUCCCAGUCCUCCCACUGAUUGCAAUUUUUAUCACUAUUUUUGGGGUUUUUUUUUGAGCUAGAGAUGCUCCUGAGCUCCUGUGAUGGCUUUGGGAGUGGGUUGGCUCAGGAGUCCAUCCCUGGUGCUCAAAGCAGGUUUAAGAUUUAAAGGGGAGAGUGGACACCCUUGCUGACACCCACAGGCACCUGGAUGUCCUCUGUGCCUUGAUGCACUCCCAGAGAACACCACAGGAUGCUUCAAAUACACACCCAGGCUUUAGAUUUUUACCUCCAUUUCCAGCUUGAAUGCAAUAAAUUCCCAGGCCAAGAAGAGCUGGAAGAAGCACCCCAGGAUUUUCUGUUCUCAGAGUCCCUGCCUUUAACAUGAACUAAAUUUUCUGUGCUUGCUCAGAGCAGAGGCUGAGCAGGGAGUGAGGCCAGAAAAACAGGGGGUCACGUCAGACUUUCUUUUUCUCUCCUCUUAACACUGAAAUAAAAAUACAUCCCAAGCUUGUUUUGGGAUUAACAAGAAAAAAUCCCUCUUGAUGGGAACCAUCUGUGGCCGGGAGAUGCCGGCUGCUCUCUGCCUCCCACCCUCACCCAGACGCUGUCAUUCAGGGUGUGUUCCUCUCCCAAAUAUUAUUCCUCUCAUCCCUGUGCUGGUGGGAGGAAUCCCAACUAUUUUAGGGAGGCUUUUCUCCCAGCAUUUCAAAGCAGCAGCAGCUCGUGACACCUGUGGAGGAUAAUGUUUGCUCUCCUCAUUACAGCCCCAGUGCCCAGCACAGCUUGCUGCUGGCUGCUGGGCUCGGAGGGGAGACACUGCAAGUGUCUUGGGUGUGACCUUUCCACCCCAGAUGUCACCUCAGGGUCAAAGCAAACAUCUGGAGGCCUCUCUGGCCUGUCCCACAAACCAGGAGGGGAAAUCUGCCCCGAGGAGUGGAGAUUCCCUGGCUCUGCCUCUGCUGUGCUGCUGGAAAUGAGGGGUUGGUGCUGGUGCCUUCAUGGUGUCGAAGAAUGAGGGUGAUUUCUGGGGUGGACCUCGGCCCCAGCUGAGGUUUUGGGGUGGGAAAUGCAACUUCUGGGUUGGGUUGGCAACGGGAGGAUGAAGAGGUGCAUUUGCAGCAUCAGAAAAUCCAGAGAGAUUUGGAGCAGGGAGAAGCCUCCAAGGCCAGGAAGAGGAGAGGAAGCUCAAGGGGAAUCCAGCAGGACCCAGGGCAGGUCUGGCCCGGGAGGAAAGGCUGGAAGUGUUUCUCUGCUCUCUCCAUGCAGCUGAGGAGGCUGCCUGGCUGAAAUGUCUCCUCCUGGGAUCAGCUGCUGGCAGGUUGAGCAGGAAGCUGGGAGCAAGACGAGCCCAACAGGUUCUGGGCUGUGAAACCUCCUGGAUGGCAGCACAUCCCUGGCCUGGGAUCCAAGAGCUGAACUGAAAUGGGCCCAAAUGAGCAUUUUGGGGGCUUUCCCAAACCUGGCUGCAUGAAGGAUUUUUGUGUGGGUCUUGACAUCUUCAGAGUGAUCCAGGCCUGGCUUGGGAGGUGGUUUGGAUUGAUUUGGAAAAAGGGAGGCAGGACAUUCAGGCCUUGCUCACCCUGCUCUCCUGCUUGUCCCCCAGUGUGGGACCCCCCUCCCCAGUUCCUGAACUCUCCCAGGACUGAGUUAAUCCUCACCUCUCCUCCAUGGAGCCCAGCAGGAGCUGGUUGGAGUGAAGGAUGCUGCUCCCUCCUUCCCGCUGGGGCUGGCACGAAGCAUCACAGUGGCACUGGUGGAUUUUAUUCUCCAGCAGAUGAAGGCAGAAUGCUUUCCAUCUUUGAGGCUGGCAAAAUCCAUCCCCCAGACACAGGCUCGUCCCUGCAGCUGGGGGUGCAGCCCACGCUCCCAUCCCAGGAAUGUGGGAUGUUCUGGUGCUGCUUUGCCCAGCCCACAGGCUGGGAACAGGCCUGGCUGCUCUCAGAAUAUUCCAUGGAUCCCUGAAUCCGUGGCUGUUGUAAGGUGCUCACCCAAAAGCUGGUGUUGUGCAAGGAGGACUCAUCUUUUCAAUUUCUUUUAACAAAUCCCUCCUGGGCCAAGUACACCCCAAAAUGCCACUCUGCUUUUAACAGAGAAGGGUGUUUGUGCACAGUUACUGAUGCUUGGAAAGCUGAAUGCAGCUGCUGUUCUUCACCGACCAAAAAGCAAUUUACAGAUUAAAUUUGUAAACAUUUAUAUAAACUGCUGGAACAGCAUCGUGUAGAACAACAUCAUAUUGUAACAGGAAGAAAAAUUGCUGGGUUUUUUUUGUUUGUUUGUUUGGGUUUUUUUUCUGUUUUAUUAGAAAUAGAGGGAAAUGGAUUCAGAUAACAUUUUUCAGACGGUGAGGUUUUGAACUCUGGGGGUUUAAUUUCAGCAGUGUUUGUGCACACAUGCUCCAUCUCAGGCAGGCUGAGCUGAGGCUGGGAUGGGUUUUUCAUCCCCUGUAAUGGGGUCAAACCCCACAUCUCCAUCCAAGAAAACUCCAGGAUGGAGAGGAUCAGAGAACUGAUGCUCCCCCUGACCUGGCUGAAUAACAGGGGCUUUGUUCAGGGAUCCAGGUCAGGGAUUUCAUUUCAGUACAAAGAAGCCAUGAGAAGAAUGCAGCAGGUUCCUCCCAGCGUGGAGAAAUGCAGAGAUAUCUCCAAAAGGUGUUUAAUAUUAACUGGAGCAGGGCACAUCCCUGAAGGGUUUGAUUGUGAGCCUAUCUGUGUUUGUAUCCAAACAUCACCUGCAAAUCCACAGCGUGGCCAGAGCUGGAGCGGGUGAAAGUCCUCCUGGAGGGAGCUGGAUCAAUAAUGGGUUUGUCAAUAAAGAUCAUCCCGUGCUGGCACCAGGAAUGUGAACC